Drosophila montana is the source of this 821-nucleotide long non-coding RNA. RefSeq lists it as uncharacterized. The record is from RefSeq and is a predicted model, not a curated record. NCBI's taxonomy places the organism in Eukaryota, Metazoa, Arthropoda, Insecta, Diptera, Drosophilidae. The transcript is spliced from 3 exons.
GUCAUUGUAGCCUCCAGUAUAGCCACCUGCUCCCGAACCGCUGCUGGCAUACCCACCUGCAUAGCCGCCGGCAUAGCCACGACGCCUGCGAGACACCGGACGACCUGCCAAAGAGAAUAACCGGAGUCCGGUUAGAAGUGCAUUUCGUUGGUUCUUACUGGAAGAAAGAAAGAAAAAGAAGGCAUUAGUUAAAAUGAUUUCGAGAAGAAACUGGUCUUAGAAUAGUUGUAAGUAAUCCGGUUUGCCGCUGUAGAUGUUGGUCUUAAAUUUGAUGAUGCCGUGUAAAUUACAAUAUUUGAUUUUCAUCAGCUGUUUACACUAACUGCUAACUGUAGUCACUAAGUAUUGUACUAAGCCCAGAUUUAUGCAAAUCACGCUAGGAAACAACUAGAAAACUAAUAGAAAGCUAAUGCAAAAUAGCCCAAUGCACUGCAUGUAAUUAAUCUUGCUCGGAUGGAGCCUCCCCCGAAACCGGAGAUACUUGUAAGCCCAUCACGAGUCCAAAUCAAGCCGACAAUUAUUUGAUAAAAAUCCGAUCAUAAAUUGUGUAUGAAGUCCAUUUAAUUACAAUUGCACGACUUUUCAAUUAUGGAUUGGCGCAAAUAUAAUAGAGAAGCGAUUGGCAAUUCGACGGAGCGGCAGAUGAACCGUAAACUGAGAAAAUAACCAAAUCGAAAACGGAAAUCCCCGAAAUGUGAAUUAAUGGAUUUGUAUAUAUGACUGUGUAUAUCUUUCGGUUCGGUUUGCUUGUCCAGAGAUUUCUAAACCGGUUUGGCUAAUUGGUUGCUCUUUUUUUGUUUUUUUUUUAGCAAUUAAUAAAA